AGAUCGCGAACGUGAACUCAAUCCAGUGACAAUUGGGUCGGCUUGGAGUUUCCGAUGAGAAAAAUCUCUCACCUUAUCCAAUCCAAUCCAAUCGUACAGGGCGAUUUUGGGCGAGCUGUGUGACAGCUGUGGUAGGUUUGCCAUUAUUUGCGGGUAAGGCUAGCCCUCACCAGUGCCCGCCCGCAGCAACUUCUCUUUUUCUUCAAUUCUUCUCGCGAAAGGGCUCAGAUUUGGGAUAGAGAGUACUCAGCCAGAUAUGGAAGAAAAAAAAAGCUUCGAUCAGAUACAUUUUCUUCUACACGUUGAAGGACCUUAUGUCUACCAACUAUCUGAACCAGGGAUACAAGCAUCAUAAAAGAGAUCUCUUCAGAGUAAUCCAUAUGAUGGAAGACUGGCAAAACUCAAAUGCAUAGUUGCACUGAAAGAUAUGCGAGGAAGGCCCAAAAGACGAUAUAUCAAGCCUCACGUGAAGAUCAAUCAGUGGGAUCAAACAUCUUCUGGCAGGCUACCAGAUUUUUAAUGCAGUCCUAUGGAAAGAUGCAAGGUAAUACCUGACUCACAAGUGUCCGGUGGAGCUAAAUUUUGAAGAUUUAAUCAAGCAAUAGUGAAAAGAGCAGCUUUGCACAUCGGCCUAAAAGAAACCUUCAUUGGUAUCAGCAUGAUUCUGAUUUUCAAAUGACACCACUUCCAACACGUCCGGCAUUGAGAAGCUUUCCAGCACAGCUCGAAUCACCCAAAAAGAAGUUGGAUGAGAGAGAUAUGGUUGAUUGAAAGAAGUUGGAUGAGAGAGAUAUGACUGAGUUAUGAACUCGCAAUAGGUUAUUUCCAGACCUGCUGUAGAAGACAUGUAUAGCCCAUGUUGCUUUUGAAGAAAUGCGGUUCAAGAGUUUGAUUCAAGAGAUGGUUUUGUGAUUGAUGGUUCAGUGAAGAUGCACUGUAAUACCUGAACAACAAUCCACUGGUUUGUGUGCAAAGCAUAUAGCAGUUGACUGUUAGUUUGAUCAAGUGGGCUCAUAACAUAUCUUCGACAUUUUCUUCAUAAAAUUGUAUGCCAAGCUGAGAGUGGAUGAUAAGCACCAAAACGAGGAGAGUUUGCAGGAACUAAUAGAGAAAUGCAUGCACAAGUCAUUUGCCCACUUCAGCUGGACUCCCUGUUGCAUUGUAAGGUGAAAUUGAGGCAGAUGUCUGAAAUUCUUGGUAUGCUAGUGGAUCUGUAACAUUUACCUAAUUAUACUAAUAUUAAACUGGCUCAUUAAAAUAUAACUAAAUCUGGAAUUGAAAGUCAGAAAAGAUGAGAUUCUUAAAUGGAUUUGAGUAUGAACAUAAUCAUAUCCAGACUCAAUUGUCUAAUGACCAGAUCUAUCAUUCAAUGUAUUUGUAUAAAUAUCAUUUAUUCAUUCUUAAAUAGAAAGAAUCAGGUUAAGAAAAUUAAUGUGAGAGUUGUAGAAAUGAUGCUGGUAACUAGUUUGUAUGAGGUGUGAACUGCUUGGCAUUAUAAGAAAAAGGUAGAAUCUGUACAUGCAAGCCUUGUAAAUUCAAUAGAUACAAUAGCAUAUUUUUAUUUCUUUUGAAA
Non-coding RNA from Elaeis guineensis (African oil palm), 1573 nucleotides. Lineage: Eukaryota; Viridiplantae; Streptophyta; Magnoliopsida; Arecales; Arecaceae. The record is from RefSeq and is a predicted model, not a curated record.